GACGAACGCUGGCGGCGUGCCUAAUACAUGCAAGUAGAACGCUGACUACUUUAGCUUGCUAGAGUAGAAGGAGUUGCGAACGGGUGAGUAACGCGUAGGUAACCUGCCUACUAGCGGGGGAUAACUAUUGGAAACGAUAGCUAAUACCGCAUAACAGUGUUUAACACAUGUUAGAUGCUUGAAAGAUGGAAUUGCAUCACUAGUAGAUGGACGUGCGUUAGAUUAGCUAGUUGGUGGGGUAACGGCACACCAAGGCGACGAUACAUAGCCGACCUGGGAGGGUGAUCGGCCACACUGGGACUGAGACACGGCCCAGACUCCUACGGGAGGCAGCAGUAGGGAAUCUUCGGCAAUGGGGGCAACCCUGACCGAGCAACGCCGCGUGAGUGAAGAAGGUUUUCGGAUCGUAAAGCUCUGUUGUAAGAGAAGAACGUGUGUGAGAGUGGAAAGUUCACACAGUGACGGUAACUUACCAGAAAGGGACGGCUAACUACGUGCCAGCAGCCGCCGUAA
This 513-nucleotide ribosomal RNA is filed under the name uncultured bacterium. RNAcentral's name for it is "partial 16S ribosomal RNA". It matches the Rfam family "Bacterial small subunit ribosomal RNA", at positions 28 to 523 of the family's 1533-position model. The record is from RNAcentral.